RNAcentral lists this ribosomal RNA (921 nucleotides) under uncultured Bacteroidota bacterium. RNAcentral describes it as "bacterial SSU rRNA". It matches the Rfam family "Bacterial small subunit ribosomal RNA", at positions 1 to 917 of the family's 1533-position model. Lineage: Bacteria; Pseudomonadati; Bacteroidota. The record is from RNAcentral.
UGGAUCCAGACUUUGAUCCUGGCUCAGGAUGAACGCUAGCUACAGGCUUAACACAUGCAAGUCGAGGGGCAGCAUGGGAUUAGCUUGCUGAUCCUGAUGGCGACCGGCGCACGGGUGCGUAACGCGUAUCCAACCUGCCCUCUACUCCGGAACAGCCCGUCGAAAGGCGGAUUAAUGCCGGAUGGCGUCAGAUGCCCGCAUGGGCGUGUGACUAAAGGCAACGGUAGAGGAUGGGGAUGCGACUGAUUAGCUUGUUGGCGGGGUAACGGCCCACCAAGGCUACGAUCAGUAGGGGUUCUGGGAGGAAGGUCCCCCACAUUGGAACUGAGACACGGUCCAAACUCCUACGGGAGGCAGCAGUGAGGGAUAUUGGUCAAUGGGCGAGAGCCUGAACCAGCCAAGUAGCGUGCGGGGUGACGGCCCUAUGGGUUGUAAACCGCUUUUGAUUGGGGACAAAGAGCGCCACGUGUGGUGCGUUGCGUGUACCUUUCGAAUAAGCAUCGGCUAAUUCCGUGCCAGCAGCCGCGGUAAUACGGAAGAUGCGAGCGUUAUCCGGAUUUAUUGGGUUUAAAGGGAGCGUAGGCGGGCUGUUAAGUCAGCGGUCAAAUGUCAGGGCCCAACCUUGGCAUGCCGUUGAUACUGGCGGCCUUGAGUUUACACAAGGAAGGUGGAAUUCGUCGUGUAGCGGUGAAAUGCUUAGAUAUGACGAAGAACUCCGAUUGUGAAGGCAGCCUUCUGGGGUGUUACUGACGCUGAGGCUCGAAAGUGCGGGAAUCAAACAGGAUUAGAUACCCUGGUAGUCCGCACCGUAAACGAUGAGCGCCCGUCAUUGGCGACACACAGUCAGUGACCAAGGGAAACCGUUAAGCGCUCCACCUGGGGAGUACGCCGGCAACGGUGCAACUCAAAGGAAUUGACGGA